GUUCCGGUGGCCUAAGUAGUCAGAGCGUCUGCCUCGGAUUGCAGGAGGUCGCGGGUUCGAACCCCUCCCAAAGUCA
Non-coding RNA from Potamilus streckersoni, 76 nucleotides. The record is from the annotation of a GenBank genome assembly. Lineage: Eukaryota; Metazoa; Mollusca; Bivalvia; Unionida; Unionidae.